RNAcentral lists this microRNA precursor (78 nucleotides) under Medicago truncatula (barrel medic). RNAcentral describes it as "MIR5269 microRNA precursor family". It matches the Rfam family "MIR5269 microRNA precursor family". Lineage: Eukaryota; Viridiplantae; Streptophyta; Magnoliopsida; Fabales; Fabaceae. The record is from Rfam by way of RNAcentral.
UUUGUUUAAAUCAUUCUGGUCCACACUUUGAAAAUUGAACUCACACAAAGUGGUGGGACAUACAUUGAUUUCAUCCAA